RNAcentral lists this ribosomal RNA (472 nucleotides) under uncultured organism. RNAcentral's name for it is "partial 16S ribosomal RNA". It matches the Rfam family "Bacterial small subunit ribosomal RNA", at positions 334 to 797 of the family's 1533-position model. The record is from RNAcentral.
CACUCCUACGGGAGGCAGCAGUGGGGAAUAUUGCACAAUGGGCGCAAGCCUGAUGCAGCCAUGCCGCGUGUAUGAAGAAGGCCUUCGGGUUGUAAAGUACUUUCAGCGGGGAGGAAGGCGAUAAGGUUAAUAACCUUGUCGAUUGACGUUACCCGCAGAAGAAGCACCGGCUAACUCCGUGCCAGCAGCCGCGGUAAUACGGAGGGUGCAAGCGUUAAUCGGAAUUACUGGGCGUAAAGCGCACGCAGGCGGUCUGUCAAGUCGGAUGUGAAAUCCCCGGGCUCAACCUGGGAACUGCAUUCGAAACUGGCAGGCUAGAGGCUUGUAGAGGGGGGAAGAAUUCCAGGUGUAGCGGUGAAAUGCGUAGAGAUCUGGAGGAAUACCGGUGGCGAAGGCGGCCCCCUGGACAAAGACUGAUGCUCAGGUGCGAAAGCGUGGGGAGCAAACAGGAUUAGAAACCCGGGUAGUCCCA